GUUAGGAAUAUUGGACAAUGGGCGAAAGCCUGAUCCAGCCAUGCCGCGUGAACGAUGAAGGCCUUCGGGUUGUAAAGUUCUUUAGCCGAUGAUUAUAAUGACUGUAGUCGGAAAAUAAGCCCCGGCUAACUUCGUGCCAGCAGCCGCGGUAAUACGAAGGGGGCGAGCGUUAUUCGGAAUCACUGGGCGUAAAGCAUGCGUAGGCGGUUUUGUAAGUUAGGAGUGAAAGCCCAGGGCUCAACCUUGGAAUUGCUCUUAAAACUGCAAGGCUCGAAUCUCGGAGAGGAUAGCGGAAUUUCCAGUGUAGCAGUGAAAUGCGUAGAUAUUGGAAGGAACACCAGUGGCGUAAGCGGCUAUCUGGACGAGUAUUGACGCUGAGGCACGAAAGCGUGGGGAUCAAACAGGAUUAGAAACCCGAGUAGUCC
This 425-nucleotide ribosomal RNA is filed under the name uncultured bacterium. RNAcentral's name for it is "partial 16S ribosomal RNA". It matches the Rfam family "Bacterial small subunit ribosomal RNA", at positions 354 to 796 of the family's 1533-position model. The record is from RNAcentral.